Camellia sinensis is the source of this 1769-nucleotide non-coding RNA. NCBI's taxonomy places the organism in Eukaryota, Viridiplantae, Streptophyta, Magnoliopsida, Ericales, Theaceae. The record is from RefSeq and is a predicted model, not a curated record.
GAAAUGCUGUGACAAUAAAUCGUUCGAAUCGUUUUCUCCGUCUCAUACCCUUCAUUGUCUUCCGAGCUCAAAACGGCAACGGCAUGCCCUUGACGAGGAGCUUCCCCCGCUUUCUCUCUCUACAAACUUCGCUCUACUUUCUCUCUGUCAAACGAUCUCUUCCCUAUCUCUCUCCACUUACCAACGAGAAGCCUCUCACUCUCUCACUAUCAGUUGCUGCCUCUGCUAUGGAUUCCCAAUCGCCUUGUGUUCUGGUGCUAUGUGGAAAAUCAUCUACCGAUAAUGAAUUGGCGAAAUCUUUGAAGAACAAUAACACUUUGAAACUCCCUGACAUUGCCGAUGUUUCGAUUCUAUUGCAUUCGGAGAGUGGAAUGACUUCCGAAGGAGAAGGAGAAGGAGAAGGAGAAGGAGAAGGAGAGAGUUUUCGGAUCAAUUUGUUCUUGAAUUCUCUUUCAACUACUCGCUUUGGAAGGUUCCUGAUUUGGUCCCCUCGGUUGUCAUCGACACAUGACGUAGUUUCUCACAAUUUCUGCGAAAUUCCAAUUGGCGCUGUUUGUGUUGCUGAUGCUCAGUUCAAAGGGCGAGGUCGGUCAAAGAAUGCGUGGGAAUCUCCAAAAGGUUGCCUUCUAUUUUCAUUUACAAUACAGAUGGAAGAUGGGCGAGUGGUGCCUCUUGUACAGUAUGUAGUGUCUCUUGCCAUGACAGAGGCAAUAAAAGAUGUCUGUGUGACAAAUGGUAUACCACCUCUUGAAGUUAGAAUAAAGUGGCCAAAUGACCUGUACUUAAAUGGCCUUAAAGUGGGAGGCAUUUUGUGCACUUCAGUCUAUAAAUCAAAGAAGUUUAAUGUCAGUGCUGGAAUAGGCUUGAAUAUUGAUAAUGAGAAACCUACAACUUGCUUGAAUGCAGUGCUGAAAAAAUUGACUUCUGUUGCUUAUCAACUACAGAGAGAAGAUAUUCUUGCAGCCUUUUUUAAUAAAUUUGAGAAUCUUUUUGAUAUUCUUAUUAACAAAGGGUUUCAACCUCUUGAGGAGCUGUACUAUGAGACAUGGCUGCAUAGUGGGCAGAGAGUUAUUGUGCAGGAAAAUAAUGCUGAUCAAAUUGUAGAAAAAGUGGUUACCAUUCAGGGUUUAACAUCCUCGGGAUAUUUAUUAGCUCUUGGUGAAGACAAUCAAAUGUGCGAGCUUCAUCCAGACGGCAAUAGUUUUGACUUCUUCAAAGGACUAGUGAGGAGAAAAUUGACCUAAAAAAGAUUCCGGAGCACAACCUUUUGUUGGAGGCAACAAUCAUGCAUCACCAUGUGCAUAACUAAGGAUACGUUCACAUCUAUUCAUACAUCCAUUACUCCAUAAUCAAUGAGGAUGGCUUUGGGUCUGCCGUCGGUAAUGCAAUUGCUAGGCCUGAGGUUGGAAAAUGUUUGGUGUGGAGAGAGGAGAUAAAUACUAAGCUGUUUGGAUGAAGAGGAACUGUGUUGUGGAGUUGAGAAGACCUAGCACCUGUCAAAGAAUGAAGGAAGAAGAACUGCAGUGGAGUUGGUCGGCAAGAAGAAGCUGGAACGUUGGUCAUCGAAGGUAUAAAGGAGAGAGACAGAGAGGGGGGUAUAUGCAGAGUUUUUUUUAGAUGGGUGUAUAUGCUGAGUUUGGGUGAGAGAGUAAACCGUGUUUCAAUUUCACCUUUUAGAUCUCCAAUGCCCUCUACAAAUAGGUGUAGGCUGUAAUUAUUUUCUUAGGAAUAAAACAAUAAACAGUGGUGUAGAUUAACAAAUAUUAUAA